UUGCACGCUGGCGGCAGGCCUAACACAUGCAGGUCGAGCGGAUGAAGGGAGCUUGCUCCUGGAUUCAGCGGCGGACGGGUGAGUAAUGCCUAGGAAUCUGCCUGGUAGUGGGGGAUAACGUCCGGAAACGGGCGCUAAUACCGCAUACGUCCUGAGGGAGAAAGUGGGGGAUCUUCGGACCUCACGCUAUCAGAUGAGCCUAGGUCGGAUUAGCUAGUUGGUGGGGUAAAGGCCUACCAAGGCGACGAUCCGUAACUGGUCUGAGAGGAUGAUCAGUCACACUGGAACUGAGACACGGUCCAGACUCCUACGGGAGGCAGCAGUGGGGAAUAUUGGACAAUGGGCGAAAGCCUGAUCCAGCCAUGCCGCGUGUGUGAAGAAGGUCUUCGGAUUGUAAAGCACUUUAAGUUGGGAGGAAGGGCAGUAAGUUAAUACCUUGCUGUUUUGACGUUACCAACAGAAUAAGCACCGGCUAACUUCGU
RNAcentral lists this ribosomal RNA (482 nucleotides) under uncultured bacterium. Its description in RNAcentral is "partial 16S ribosomal RNA". It matches the Rfam family "Bacterial small subunit ribosomal RNA", at positions 30 to 506 of the family's 1533-position model. The record is from RNAcentral.